RNAcentral lists this ribosomal RNA (403 nucleotides) under Fusobacteriota bacterium. Its description in RNAcentral is "Fusobacteria bacterium partial 16S ribosomal RNA". It matches the Rfam family "Bacterial small subunit ribosomal RNA", at positions 355 to 776 of the family's 1533-position model. The record is from RNAcentral. Lineage: Bacteria; Fusobacteriati; Fusobacteriota.
UGGGGAAUAUUGCACAAUGGAGGGAACUCUGAUGCAGCGACGCCGCGUGAACGAAGAAGGCUUUCGAGUCGUAAAGUACUUUUAUAUGGGAAGAUAAUGACCGUACCAUAAGAAAAAGCCCCGGCUAACUACGUGCCAGCAGCCGCGGUAAUACGUAGGGGGCUAGCGUUGUCCGGAAUCACUGGGCGUAAAGGGUUCGCAGGCGGAAAUGCAAGUCAGGUGUAAAAGGCAGUAGCUUAACUACUGUAAGCAUUUGAAACUGCAUAUCUUGAGAAGAGUAGAGGUAAGUGGAAUUUUUAGUGUAGCGGUGAAAUGCGUAGAUAUUAAAAAGAAUAACGGUGGCGAAGGCGACUUACUGGGAUCAUUCUGACGCUGAGGAACGAAAGCGUGGGUAGCAAACAGG